UAAAAGAAAAAAAAAUUAUUUUGGGCUAUUGGGGAAUGCUCUAGAAACCUGUAAAGAAGAAAAGUAAUAGGAAAAGGAAUUAAAACAAAAAUGGUAAAGGGGAGAUAGGAAGAAGAAUCGAGAAUCGGAAACAGAGGAGAGGAGGAGAGGUAAUUGCAGCAGCCAUGAUUAAAAAAAAAAAAAAAAGCCACUAAGAUUUCAGCUAAAUUCCCCACCUUGUCAUUUUCGUUCAAUUACAGUAGCCCUAGCCUUGCAAACCCAUCCCGCAAUUUGCAUUCUCUUAACCCAGCAGCCUUAGGAAUUGAAGGACAGAGAUACUUGCAGCAGCUGUCCAACCCUUCAAUUUCUGGCCAAAUCCCAUCCUUACCAACAUCUUUUCAUCUCUAACAGCAGCCCCAUGAUGGAAGAAACCAGUCACCAUCUUCUCCUCUUUACGGAACGCGAGAGAAGAAGCGAGAGGAGCCACAAUUGCUCUCCAAAAUCUAGCAAUUUCUUAUGAGAAUUUCACUCAUUCUUAGUGAUUUGGUCUAUUUGAGGCUGCAACAACCACUCCUAAACUCCCUUGUUACUUCAAUUAGAGUUGAUUUCAUCCAUUUCAACCAAACAGCAAAAUAGAAACAGGAAAUAGAAGAGCUAUUGUUGCUGUCCCUCUUGGAUUUUGGCAUUUUCAAUGCCGUUAAAGCCAACCAGCAACAUCCCUGGCCUCCUUCAACCGUUAUUGAAUCCUCCCAUUACCCCAGUCAAAGCUAGCAGUUGAAUGAAAGGGUAGUUAAUUGAGAUUUCAUUCCUUGGUUAAGUUUUUAGUCCAACCAAGACCAAUAAUCAAACCCACUUCAUUUCCUAGUCCUAAUAAGUUCUAACUUGAAAUUGUUUAAGCUGAAAUUGUGUAAGCUAAGUAUGAAAGAGGGUAAAGGGAGAGGGAAAAUAUUGGUACACGAGUGACAUAGGGUGGUAAUACGAAGGCAGCGUGUGAUGGCCAUCCCAAAUUCUGCUGUUCUUCUAUUUUCAGUAUUUUUCAGCUGCAAUUGGUAUUGGGAAAUCCUGCUUCAGAUGUAGGUUGUAGGGACAUCUUUGUUGGUUAGAUCGUUCCCUUUCAAUUUAUCUUUGUCUCCAAUACCAGAUUCUUUUGGUGAUCCCAGUUCUAGCAAUGCUUGUCUUCAUAGCUUGUCCUCUCCUCGCUUUGUCAAGUCUAGUGGAGGUCAGGCCAACCUACUUCAUGGGUGGAUUGUGAAUUUUUUUGGGGACUAUUUUUUUAUAUAUAUGUUUAGGGUGAUUUAGGAUUGAUUAUUGGGUUGUUGAUAUCCUCUUUUUAAUCUUGAUAUUCUUGGUUGGUUGAUAGCCAUUCUUGGUUGGUUGAUAGCCAUUCUUGGUAAAUUUGACAAAUCUUGGUAAACUUGAUAGUCACGUUAGAUGCAUACUGCUCACAAUUGUGUUUUCAGCAGGUUAUCUUGGUUUUAAUAAGUCAUGUUUUCAAGGGGAUCUUUGUCAGUUUCUUGAGUUUCAUCCUUCUCUAUAGUUUAGGGGUGAGUGUUACAAAUACCCCAACUUAAAUCCUUCCCAUCACUAUUUUCCUCAAAACCGUAAGGGUACCAAAUUCAGUUUAGUUGUUAGUUUAGAUUUCUUAAUUGCUAUCUCAAGUAAACGCUCAUCAUUGCCAUCCGAUCUCUUUCCCAUUAUCUUGGGUCACUUGACAAAUCUAGUGUUGCUGACAAAGGAAACUACAUUAAUUAAGGUAUUUGCUGAAUACAGAGCAAUCAGAAUUGGCGAAAGAGGCAAGUCCAUUUGGCUGUUAUUUUCGCUCCUUUAUAUCUCUAUUUUCUUGUUAUUUUGUUUCUUUUAAUAUUCAUAAGCAUUAUGAUUCUAUUUCUUUUAUUUUCUGCUGCAAAAAUGCUUAGAUUUCUAUGAUUAUUUGAGGUUUUGCAGUAUUUUAA
This is an RNA transcript of Hevea brasiliensis (rubber tree), 1931 nucleotides long. RefSeq lists it as uncharacterized. The record is from RefSeq and is a predicted model, not a curated record. Lineage: Eukaryota; Viridiplantae; Streptophyta; Magnoliopsida; Malpighiales; Euphorbiaceae. The transcript has 3 exons.